Molecule: ribosomal RNA, 433 nt
Filed under: uncultured bacterium
Lineage: Bacteria
Description: partial 16S ribosomal RNA
Rfam family: Bacterial small subunit ribosomal RNA
Source: RNAcentral
AACGAACGCUGGCGGCAUGCCUAACACAUGCAAGUCGAACGAGACCUUCGGGUCUAGUGGCGCACGGGUGCGUAACGCGUGGGAACCUGCCCUUAGGUUCGGAAUAACUCCCCGAAAGGGGUGCUAAUACCGGAUAAUGUCUUCGGACCAAAGAUUUAUCGCCUUUGGAUGGGCCCGCGUUGGAUUAGCUAGUUGGUAGGGUAAAAGCCUACCAAGGCGACGAUCCAUAGCUGGUCUGAGAGGAUGAUCAGCCACACUGGGACUGAGACACGGCCCAGACUCCUACGGGAGGCAGCAGUGGGGAAUAUUGGACAAUGGGCGAAAGCCUGAUCCAGCAAUGCCGCGUGAGUGAUGAAGGCCUUAGGGUUGUAAAGCUCUUUUAACCGGGAUGAUAAUGACAGUACCGGGAGAAUAAGCGCCGGUUAACUCCGUG